RNAcentral lists this ribosomal RNA (276 nucleotides) under Bimastos rubidus. Its description in RNAcentral is "partial 12S ribosomal RNA". It matches the Rfam family "Bacterial small subunit ribosomal RNA", at positions 1050 to 1520 of the family's 1533-position model. Lineage: Eukaryota; Metazoa; Annelida; Clitellata; Crassiclitellata; Lumbricidae. The record is from RNAcentral.
CGUCGUAAGCACACCUCUAAGAGUCUAAAGUGUGCAAUAAUGAUUAUUCUCAUAUAUGUCAGGUCAAAGUGCAGCUUAUGAAAGGGAGAUGAUGGGUUACACCCUAUAUAAAGAUACCAAUUUUAACAUUAAAAGCUAAAUAAAGGUGGACUUGGACGUAAUUAUAAUUCAAUGUUAUAACGAAAACGAAUCUAAGACAUGUACACAUCGCCCGUCACUCUCGCCUAAAGGCGAGAUAAGUCGUAACAAAGUAGGUGUAACGGAAGUUGCACCUGU